GACGAACGCUGGCGGCGUGCUUAACACAUGCAAGUCGAACGGCAAGGCCCUGCUUUUGUGGUGUGCUCGAGUGGCGAACGGGUGAGUAACACGUGAGUAACCUGCUCUUGACUUUGGGAUAACUUCAGGAAACUGGGGCUACUACCGGAUAGGAGCUCCUGCUGCAUGGUGGGGGGUGGAAAGUUUCGGCGGUUGGGGAUGGACUCGCGGCUUAUCAGCUUGUUGGUGGGGUAGUGGCUUACCAAGGCUUUGACGGGUAGCCGGCCUGAGAGGGUGACCGGCCACAUUGGGACUGAGAUACGGCCCAGACUCCUACGGGAGGCAGCAGUGGGGAAUCUUGCACAAUGGGCGGAAGCCUGAUGCAGCAACGCCGCGUGCGGGAUGACGGCCUUCGGGUUGUGAACCGCUUUCGCCUGUGACGAAGCGUGAGUGACGGUAAUGGGUAAAGAAGCACCGGCUAACUACGUG
This 468-nucleotide ribosomal RNA is filed under the name uncultured bacterium. RNAcentral's name for it is "partial 16S ribosomal RNA". It matches the Rfam family "Bacterial small subunit ribosomal RNA", at positions 28 to 507 of the family's 1533-position model. The record is from RNAcentral.